Molecule: long non-coding RNA, 2468 nt
Organism: Bubalus bubalis (water buffalo)
Lineage: Eukaryota; Metazoa; Chordata; Mammalia; Artiodactyla; Bovidae
Exons: 3
Source: RefSeq, a predicted model, not a curated record
CAUGACCGACUCAAUGGACAUGAGUUUGAGCAAGCUCCUAGGAGACAGUGAUGGACAGGGAAGCCUGGCGUGCUGCAGCCCACGGCAUUGCAAAGAGCCAGGAAGGGGCAACUGAGCAACAGCACCGGUCCAGGCACCAUGAUGGGGCGCGUCUGGGUCCUCCCUAGCCAGCCAGCCCUGCCGGUCCACAGGAAUGCCUGACGUGUUGGGCGUGCGAGGCCCAUGCUGAAUCCUGAACAGUGUAGAUGGGGAGACAGGAUGCCCCAGGACAGAGGUGGCUGCUGUGCCCCACUCCUCUCUCUGGAGAUCCCUCUGAAGGCUCACUGAGCAGUGGGGAGAGGCCUUAGUAGACAGUCUGGGAGCUGAACUGAAUUGACACCCAGUUCUUCAGAUUGCAGGGCUUCCUGAGCAGUUGUUUUCAAGUUUGUCUGAGAAAGUAAUCCUGCUGGGAGCUGAGCAUCGGGAACAUAUGUUCCAUGCAGACGUGGAGUCUCAGAGGGUGCGGGGCUCCCCAAGAGACCGAGGCCAGUGCAGGUUGACAUUUCACUGCCACCGCUUCACAUCCGAUCACUCCACCGUGUUUCCACUCCCUUGCUCAGCUGAACCUUCAACACGAAUAGCGGCCAGUACCAACCAGGCGCUCAGCAAAGCACCAGAUAUUGGGAUAAGCACUUGGCAUCAGUAACCCGCUCCUCACCGCCACCCCGUGACGUGGACAGGGAAGUCACUCACCCAGGCAAGUCUGCACCUGAUGUACACUGGAUAUUCUCUGCAGUUUGUGCUGCUUACCACCAAAAGAGGACAAUAAUUAAGAAAAGAGACACCCAUCUUCUGCUUGGUUGCAUUCUCUCAAUUUUUUCUGGGUUAAAAAAAUCUGAUACAAAACACAUGUUUGUAUAGCUGUAAUUCCACUCUUAAAAAUAGUUGCUUUCUACCACAAUGGACAAACAAUUGAGAAUUCUGACAACUUGUAUGUUACUGAAGAGUUGGCUCUGACGUGUCACUGUCCUUUGUGAUCUGUGCCACUCCUGGCUUCAGCCAGAUCAUACCAUUCCACGCACAAAGCACUGGAGCAAAUAAUUUGAUUCAAGCAAUUGUCUAGUUUUGAAACAUGGUGGUUCUAACAGUUUCACAUGUUUAUUCUAGGGUUUGACUCCCCCAAUCAAUAAUUUCCUGUUGCACGGUAAAAAUCCCCGUUUCUCAUAGUAGGAUGCUGACUCUAGAGCCAGCAAAUGCAUGAGCCCAAGGGGGUGCCGCCCACUGCUUCAGCAGGGAGCAGCCACUCAGCUGCCAAGGAAACUUGCCAGUCUACACUCCUUGAGAAAGUAUCCAUCACCGUCCCACUCGCAUCUGAAUUCCAGACAGAUGUGAGUUCAGAUCUGGUCUAUACAGCAAAGUCUCUCACGCCCUGGAGAGGGGGCGGGUGAGAGCUGGUCUCAGAGACUCAGAAUGAGGACCCAUUUCUCGUGAUGUUGCACUCGGGCACCUGUGCCUUCUCGCGAGCUCUCAGCAGGGCAGCCCCGAGCCAAGUGCUGGGCCCCACCUGGAGAGUUAGUUCCGCUCACCCUGUCCCUGCAGGGGUGUCUCGGUGAUGCGUCAGGAUGGCGAGGAACUGGGAGCCCAGUUGGGAGCAAUCCUGUAUUCCCCAGAGGACCCUGCAGAAGCAAGAGUGCCUGGGUGGGUGUGGGGAGCAGGCGGACUGCACUGGAGAUGGGCUCCUCGGAGGGGAAGAUAACCGAGAGGGUUACGGGCUCCUUGAGCUUUUCCUUUGGAGGCCCAAGUCCCCUAACCUGUGGAAUAAGGGGUAUGAGUGUGAGGGGGGUGGCUGGAGGGGUCUCUUCCAUUCUUUGCUGUGCUUCUUUACAGAGGGGUCUCUUCCCAGGAGCUCCACUGCCUUCCUCAGCACAGGGCAGAACUCUCCCUGCUAAAGCAUGGGUUCCAUACCCCAGUUCCAGAGUCACACCGGGCCCUGCACUGGCUACUGAAAAUCAGAGCUGCACCCAGGAGGGGCGCACAGGAGGGAGCAGGCUGGGCUGUGUAGUAAGGUGAGCCCACCUGCCGGCUCAGGCAGCCUUCUCUGCAACACCAUCAGCAGUAGGACAGGCCACCCUCACGUGUGUUUUCCAUUUUCUCUCAGAAUUCUCUUCCAGAGUGUACACACAGCCAGCUAACCGUGUUAUGAGUCACACCUAGCCACAGCUAGCUGAGAGACGAGCCGAUCACCUUUUCUCUCUGAGCCUGGGUUUCCUAGCUUGGAAGCUGAGAAUGCUAACGCUUGCUUUGGCCCUCAGGCAGCACUGGUAUAAGGCAGACUCCUGUACACAUGAGCUCCAUCACAGUUACUCCAUGUAACCUCCCAGCAAGUUCCCUGGUGGCUCAGUGGAAGAGAGUCCACAUGCAAAGCAGGAGAUGCAGGUUCAAUCCCUGGGUUGGGAAGAUCCCCUGGAGAAGAAAAUGGCAACUUGCUC